This 1352-nucleotide long non-coding RNA is filed under the name Anas platyrhynchos platyrhynchos (common mallard). Its description in RNAcentral is "lncRNA (ENSAPLG00000020425.1)". The record is from RNAcentral. Lineage: Eukaryota; Metazoa; Chordata; Aves; Anseriformes; Anatidae.
GCCUGGUAAAAGCUUCACUUUUCAUACGCCAAGUCACAAAAUAUGGAUCAUAUAUGAUAUUUGAGCAAAGAGGAUAAAAAAAGGUUCUUUUGUAGCAGGGAUUAGAAACAGAAAUAAAAAAGGAGGAAGUGAUACUUUCUUUCCUGUGAUGCAUCUUUCUGUCAUUUCUACUUUAAAGGGAAUACAUCAGGGGAAUACAUCAGUUCCAGGUAUCCAGGAAAAAAAAAAAAAAAAAAAAAAAAAAAAAAAAAGAGAGAGAAAAAAAGAGAGAGAGGAAAAAAAAAGACCGAAUUAAGCUUGUUUCAGCAAAUUAAAAAUCCUUUACAAAUCAGUGGUUUGGAGAGCUUGUAGGGUUCACUACUUGACUUCCAAAGAAAGAAAGAACGGCAUCUGUAAGGGUGAAAAGUCAUUCCCUCUGGGCUUUGAUUUAUUAAGAGAAAGGUUAUUCCAAAACAGCCUGUUAUUCCUCCAGCCAAAACCACCACUGGCAGUUUUCCCUCCUGGCCUUCUAUGGGAGAUCCCUUCUAAGACUUGGAGAGGACUUCUAAGACUUGACCCCGGGCGUGAACAGCCAACACCCCAGUAGCUCUCCACUAGUGAGCAGCUCUCACAUCUUACAGUUCAGAUGCAGGCAAACAAGGCACAGAGAGGCCCGGCACACAUACUGGAAGACAGCAUUGGUCCAACAACUGGUCAGUGACAGAGGAGAGGGAGCAACAUUAAAGCAUAUGAAAUAAAUGCGAGCAGCAGCAACGAAUGAAGAAGUAACCGUGUCCCAGGCAGCUGCUGACACGCACAGGAGCGCAGGCUGCUGGAGAUUUUCACUGCCAGGGAUCUGGCAGCAAUCACACUAAAUGUUGUGAGCUGUUGACAGCUGAAGAUGAGCAGCUUAGGCAGAAGGAGAAAUCCUCUGGACUUACACUCACUGCCUAAACCAAGGAUGGGGGAACCAGUCUCCUGGGGCUCUGCAGAAUGGAGGUGAAUGGUCCUACCUGCAUCCCAUACAUCUCUGUGCCCUAGGGGAGACAAGACCAGGGCAGGUGGACACAGGACUGAGUAAUUCACAUUCACCACAGAAAGGUGAUCUGGCUGAAACUGAUGGGUCAGUGUCAGUUACAGAGCACCUGAAACUCAGUACAGGGAGCUGUCCUUUCUCUGGCAGCCGUGCUUGCAGUCAGCACAUGAUCCACUUCGUAGCCAGCUCCUGCCCAGCACCUACCAGUGAUCUGGUGUUUGUCUCAGCUGGUUCUGCUGUGCGAGAAGACAGAGUGGGAUGUCACAGACUGGCUCAUUCCAUCUGUGGCCUUUCUGCUGCCAUCAGCAGCAGGGCUGUGCAUGUCUGUCUGAUCUAG